Molecule: ribosomal RNA, 309 nt
Filed under: Triticum aestivum (bread wheat)
Lineage: Eukaryota; Viridiplantae; Streptophyta; Magnoliopsida; Poales; Poaceae
Description: partial small subunit ribosomal RNA
Source: RNAcentral
AUGGAUUUUUGUUUUUUGGAUAAAAGGGGAGCUCAGACUGAUAGUAUCAAAAAACGCUUACAUUUUGAGACAGAGGGAGUAUUGGUCAUAACUGGUGCGAUACUGGUGAUAAUUUGUGACAUGGUUGGCAGGCAUUCUGGUUGCUUAGUGACUGCCAACCCACCCAAUAUUUCUCAGGAAAACUCACUGUUGUCAAUUUCUAUUGCUGAACGGACUGUCUUUUUUAUUUCACUUGCAGAGUUGGAAGUCAAUUGCCUACCCCAACUUGUUUGUUUGUUUGUAGAGUUGGAAGUCAGUUGUUCUUCAUGA